RNAcentral lists this long non-coding RNA (418 nucleotides) under Elaeis guineensis (African oil palm). RNAcentral's name for it is "long non-coding RNA (EGUI_LNC027689)". Lineage: Eukaryota; Viridiplantae; Streptophyta; Magnoliopsida; Arecales; Arecaceae. The record is from RNAcentral.
AUAUGAAAAGAGUUCUGGGAUUGAUAGGACACGCACAAUUUUUUGGAGCAGAUUUUGAGGUGGCACGUCUUGGGUCAUCAUGAUGGAAUUAAAUAUUUGUCAUCUUAUCAUCUGCUUUUUGAAUUAUGGCGCUGAUUCUUAUAACCGACGGCAGUGGCUGAACAAAUAGAAGAAUGACAUGUGUGCUAUGUUCUUCGACUUGUUGGGAAAGAAAUGAUUUGAUAUCCGGAUGAUACAUUCUCCUGGCUAUAAAUAGAAGAAGUGCUUGUCUUUGAUCUCUCUGAUUUCUACCAGAGUCUUCCAUUCCCUCUUUUUUUCGUUUGUUACAGUAGCUUUUUGAAGCAAGGGAUGCUACUCCUUCCACGGCGUAAUCCUUCCCGAAGGAUUUUCAGAGUUUUUUGGUGACUACUUCAUUUCU